RNAcentral lists this ribosomal RNA (408 nucleotides) under Fusobacteriota bacterium. RNAcentral describes it as "Fusobacteria bacterium partial 16S ribosomal RNA". It matches the Rfam family "Bacterial small subunit ribosomal RNA", at positions 355 to 776 of the family's 1533-position model. The record is from RNAcentral. Lineage: Bacteria; Fusobacteriati; Fusobacteriota.
UGGGGAAUAUUGCACAAUGGACGGAAGUCUGAUGCAGCAACGCCGCGUGCGGGAUGACGGCCUUCGGGUUUUAAACCGCUUUUUCUCAUGACGAAGUUUUUUGACGGUAGUGGGGGAAGAAGCACCGGCUAACUACGUGCCAGCAGCCGCGGUGAUACGUAGGGUGCGAGCGUUGUCCGGAAUUAUUGGGCGUAAAGAGCUUGUAGGCGGUUUGUCGCGUCGAUAGUGCAAACUCAGUGCUUAACGCUGAGCCUGCUGUUGAUACGGGCAGACUAGAGGAAGGUAGGGGAGAAUGGAAUUCCCGGUGGAGCGGUAGAAUGCGCAGAUAUCGGGAGGAACACCGGUGGCGAAGGCGGUUCUCUGGGCCUUUACUGACGCUGAGAAGCGAAAGCGUGGGGAGCGAACAGG